Long non-coding RNA from Prionailurus viverrinus (fishing cat), 670 nucleotides. RefSeq lists it as uncharacterized. The record is from RefSeq and is a predicted model, not a curated record. NCBI's taxonomy places the organism in Eukaryota, Metazoa, Chordata, Mammalia, Carnivora, Felidae. The transcript has 3 exons.
GUUGAUCUGAGGAGAGAAGCCGAGACAAGCGAUGAGGAAAAGUCCUGAGAGUGGCAGGCGCCUUCCCCGCGGAGGGGUGGCGUCCGUGCCCGGCCUCCCAACACACCCAGACGGGCAGGGAGAGGCUGGGGGCCCCCGGCACCUGCGGCCAGUGCACCUGUGCUUCCCGAGCGUGGCCCCGUCCCAGCUGCGCAGGAAGUUAGGUCACACACCCUCAGCUGCUCCCCGGGGGAGGGGAAGGGCUGUGUCACCCAGGAUUCUACCCAGGCCGCGGGUGGGCCGGCUCGUGCGGAAGGCAGGCCACCUCCCUGUCACGGGCCUGGCUCCUGUGAAAAGGGGGCGCCCGGGCACGGCGACCGGGAACCUGGGCCCACAUCACUUUAACUCUCCUUGCCGAGAAGGGGCCAGUACAGUUGCAGACGUCGAUUUAUGUAGAACUUGGUGGCAUUUUUCUUGGUUGCAUCACCCUGUAUCACUGCGCGGGAGCCAAAUAUGGUAAAAUACUCAGGUCAUAACCUCGAGGCUUGUGAGUUCGAGGCCAGCAUGGGGCCCUGCACGCAGCGCGGAGCCUGCUUGGGAGUCUCUCGCCGCCCUUCCCCCGCCACUUGCAGUGUCUCUGUCUCUCUCAAGAUAAAUAAACUUAAAAAUAAAUAAAUAAACGAACAAAUAA